GUGUUAUAUGAAAAGCAAGGUGGUUCUAGCACUCCCCUUAACAGGGACAGAAGAGGCCCAUUUGCGUUUGGUUAAGGCACUGCCACCUUCUUUGUGGCAUCUAAAUUGUUUUU
Molecule: small nuclear RNA, 113 nt
Organism: Otolemur garnettii (small-eared galago)
Lineage: Eukaryota; Metazoa; Chordata; Mammalia; Primates; Galagidae
Source: Ensembl